Molecule: ribosomal RNA, 497 nt
Filed under: uncultured bacterium
Lineage: Bacteria
Description: partial 16S ribosomal RNA
Rfam family: Bacterial small subunit ribosomal RNA
Source: RNAcentral
GACGAACGCUGGCGGCGUGCCUAAUACAUGCAAGUUGAGCGAUGAAGCUUGGUGCUUGCACCAAUUUGAAGAGCAGCGAACGGGUGAGUAACGCGUGGGGAAUCUGCCUUUGAGCGGGGGACAACAUUUGGAAACGAAUGCUAAUACCGCAUAACAACUUUAAACAUAAGUUUUAAGUUUGAAAGAUGCAAUUGCAUCACUCAAAGAUGAUCCCGCGUUGUAUUAGCUAGUUGGUGAGGUAAAGGCUCACCAAGGCGAUGAUACAUAGCCGACCUGAGAGGGUGAGCGGCCACAGUGGGACUGAGACACGGCCCAAACUCCUACGGGAGGCAGCAGUAGGGAAUCUUCGGCAAUGGACGAAAGUCUGACCGAGCAACGCCGCGUGAGUGAAGAAGGUUGUCGGAUCGUAAAACUCUGUUGGUAGAGAAGAACGUUGGUGAGAGUGGAAAGCUCAUCAAGUGACGGUAACUACCCAGAAAGGGACGGCUAACUACGUG